GAUGAACGCUGGCGGCGUGCCUAAUACAUGCAAGUCGAGCGAACGGACGAGAAGCUUGCUUCUCUGAUGUUAGCGGCGGACGGGUGAGUAACACGUGGAUAACCUACCUAUAAGACUGGGAUAACUUCGGGAAACCGGAGCUAAUACCGGAUAAUAUUUUGAACCGCAUGGUUCAAAAGUGAAAGACGGUCUUGCUGUCACUUAUAGAUGGAUCCGCGCUGCAUUAGCUAGUUGGUAAGGUAACGGCUUACCAAGGCAACGAUGCAUAGCCGACCUGAGAGGGUGAUCGGCCACACUGGAACUGAGACACGGUCCAGACUCCUACGGGAGGCAGCAGUAGGGAAUCUUCCGCAAUGGGCGAAAGCCUGACGGAGCAACGCCGCGUGAGUGAUGACGGUCUUCGGAUCGUAAAACUCUGUUAUUAGGGAAGAACAUAUGUGUAAGUAACUGUGCACAUCUUGACGGUACCCAAUCAGAAAGCCACGGCUAACUACGUG
Molecule: ribosomal RNA, 497 nt
Filed under: uncultured bacterium
Lineage: Bacteria
Description: partial 16S ribosomal RNA
Rfam family: Bacterial small subunit ribosomal RNA
Source: RNAcentral